Molecule: long non-coding RNA, 677 nt
Filed under: Elaeis guineensis (African oil palm)
Lineage: Eukaryota; Viridiplantae; Streptophyta; Magnoliopsida; Arecales; Arecaceae
Description: long non-coding RNA (EGUI_LNC082303)
Source: RNAcentral
GAGUACUGAGCCACUCUUCAAGACUCCUUAAGCACAGUAAGAACUUAGAUUAAGAAUAGAAAAUAAGAUUGAUACUGAGGACUAUUACCCUCUCCAAAAUCCAUGAAAAACAAGAUAGAAAGAGAGAUAUAUGAUGUCCAUAUUGAAUUGAAAAAAGAUGCGAUGCCAAUUAUAUUAUAGGCAGAAUGUUACCGAUGAAUAUUUUCCAUUGUUUACCCACCUAAUGAUUCGUCAAUAAAUAUAUCCUUUCAAUUUCCGAUGUCUACCGAUGAAUAUAUCAAGAUAUCAUUAGUCAACAAAUACGACAACAAAUUUAUCAAGAUAUCUUGAUAUAUUCAUCAUCCAGAUCAUUCUAACCAAGGGAAGAGGACAUUGUUUACCCACUUAACCUUUCAAUUUCCUAAUGUCUACCCAUCACUCACUUUAUUCUAUAUGUCUCUAUCUAUCUACUUAUGCUCUGAUACCAUAUUAAUUGUCACGCCCCCGACCCGAGAUUUGAAUCGAGGGUCAUGGCAACUGCCGCAUACUUAUAGAAUACUUUUUCCAUAAGCAUGCAAGGCAUCUCAUCAUGAUAUCUUCACAAACAGUUAAAUAAAUUUUUCUUCAUUCAAUAAUCAAACCUUGGUUCAAAUAACAAAUCAAAACUAAGUGUUCAAAAGAAAGUAACUGUCUGACAA